RNAcentral lists this ribosomal RNA (465 nucleotides) under Vreelandella stevensii. Its description in RNAcentral is "partial 16S ribosomal RNA". It matches the Rfam family "Bacterial small subunit ribosomal RNA", at positions 338 to 795 of the family's 1533-position model. Lineage: Bacteria; Pseudomonadati; Pseudomonadota; Gammaproteobacteria; Oceanospirillales; Halomonadaceae. The record is from RNAcentral.
CCUACGGGCGGCAGCAGUGGGGAAUAUUGGACAAUGGGGGGAACCCUGAUCCAGCCAUGCCGCGUGUGUGAAGAAGGCCCUCGGGUUGUAAAGCACUUUCAGUGAGGAAGAACGCCUGGUGGUUAAUACCCAUCAGGAAAGACAUCACUCACAGAAGAAGCACCGGCUAACUCCGUGCCAGCAGCCGCGGUAAUACGGAGGGUGCGAGCGUUAAUCGGAAUUACUGGGCGUAAAGCGCGCGUAGGUGGCUUGAUAAGCCGGUUGUGAAAGCCCCGGGCUCAACCUGGGAACGGCAUCCGGAACUGUCAAGCUAGAGUGCAGGAGAGGAAGGUAGAAUUCCCGGUGUAGCGGUGAAAUGCGUAGAGAUCGGGAGGAAUACCAGUGGCGAAGGCGGCCUUCUGGACUGACACUGACACUGAGGUGCGAAAGCGUGGGUAGCAAACAGGAUUAGAUACCCUAGUAGUU